Molecule: long non-coding RNA, 2832 nt
Filed under: Pongo abelii (Sumatran orangutan)
Lineage: Eukaryota; Metazoa; Chordata; Mammalia; Primates; Hominidae
Description: lincRNA
Source: RNAcentral
GAUGGGAUUUACAUCUGAAAAACCAAGUGAGAAACUGAAGACAAGAGAGGGUGAGUGGCUUACCCAGUUUGGCACAACUGACCCCAACCUAGCCCUCCUUGAGGACUGAGUGCAUGAGAGAUCCUGAGCCACAGCCUCCCAGCCCUGCUCCUCUCGAAUUUCUGACCUACAGGAACUGCAAGAAGUAAUGAAAGACUGCUGUUUAAAGCCACUGCAUUUUGGCAUGAUUUGUUAUGCAGUCAUAGGUAACCAGAAAACAUCGGAUUUACAUUUUAAGAUAAACUUUUUAUUGAAAUAUCACAUACACACAGAGACGUCCGCAAAUUGGCUCGAUGAGCUUUCUCAAAGGAAACACAUUCUCUGAGCAGUGUGCACAUCCAGACACAUCAUCCCCAUCCUCCAGAAGCCCCCUCCUGUUACCGCCACUCACAGGUCACCCAUCUCCUGUUGCAGCCACAGAGAUAGUCCUGCCUAAUUCUGAACGUGGUAAAACGGAAUCAUACAGAAUGGGCUUGGCUUCUUUCACUCUGGGUUGUGUUUAUGAGAAUCACCCAGAUUGCUGCGUGGAAGCCAUCAUUUGUUCAUUUUCACCACCAUAGAGUAUUCUACUGUUGAUGGGACACAGGCUAUUUAUUCCUUCUACUGUUGAGGGACACAUAGUUAUUUCCAGCUGGAGACUGGUAUAUGUCUCUUGGCUACUUUCUGCAUGCAUUUCUGUUGGAGAUUGUUUCAGGUAUCUCUUAACGUAAAACAGACCAUCCUCAAAUUGAGUCCUUGAAACAAUUACCAUUUUCUUCUUUCUCAGGAUUUGGUGCAUGGGAUGGGCUCAGCUGGGCAGUUCUUCUAUUCCAUGUGAUGGUACUGGAGCUGCAGUCAUUCAGAGGCUCAACUGGGCUGAACGUGCAAGGUUUCUUGCUCACGUGGCCAUCAGUGGUGCUGGCUGCUUUUGGGAGCUCCGCUGGACUUCUGACCAGAGCUCCUCAGCUCACCUCUCUAUAUCCUUGCCCUGUGGCUCAGGCUUCUAACAAUACAGAGGCUGGAUUCCAAGAGGAGGGAAUUAGAAGCUUUCAGCCUUCUUAAGACCAGGAUUCAGAUGUCCCAGACUGUCACUGUAUUGACUGGAGCAUUUACAGCCCAGGCUAGUAAUUUUUCCAUCUUGGGCAGGAAUGGGUGGCAUAUGCUGGGGGUAGGGGUAGCAUUGUUGGGGACUGUCUUUGGAGCUGUGUGCCAAGGAGUAAAUUGCUGGGCUGCUUUCUACCUGAGGAAGUCCACUGUGCUUGCUUGUGGAGAGUGGAUUGUGUGCUCAGAGUCCACCAGGAUUUCAGAAUCUGAGCCCUGCUCCCUUUGCCUCAGCCUGUGCAUUAGGGCCCUGUGGUGAGAGCACCGAGCCAUUGUGAAUCAAGGACCCUCCCUCGACCUGCAUACUGACAGGCCAGAGGAGCUUGCUUGAUUUUGGUCCUAGGCUCCUGCCUGUGGGUUGGAUUCCAGGGGCACUCCCUCCUCCACAAACCAGACAGUGGCAGGUACAGCCCCUCAAUGGAAAUUGCCCACACUUCACCCUAAAGACAGAUCCUGCUGUUCAGCAACAAUGUGAGUGGCCCACACAUUUGUCCAGCAUGAAACUGUUUGCAGAUUCCUUUCCAGUACACAGUCCCAUCAGCUAGUCACAUCACGAUGACAACUCCUCGAAGCACCUUUUGGUUUGCAGUUGUGUAGCUUAGAAGUAAGAGCCUGCACGGCUUCAGGAAUUCACAGAAGGAACACACUUUGUGCUUGGAGAAGUUAAUUAUAGGAAUAUCCUGCAACCUGCUGCUCUGAGCCUGGGCACCUGGGGUGUUUCCCCGGAGGUCCUGUGUAUGAGGAUACUCAUCAGCAUGGGGUUUGGGAAGGCUAGCACUGGAGACAACCUAAGUGGUCCUCUCCAGGGGAGUAGGUAAGAGCCCUACAGCAGUGAAAAGCAUUGAAGGAAAAGUGUGUUCAGCAGUGCUCUUAAUCUGAUCAGAGUAACCUGAACACAUUCUAAACACAGGGCAUUUAGAACUGGGGUAGAAGCAUUAGAGCACCAUAGAUACAAACUCAGAUUCUGAAGGUAAAUGCCCAGGUUCAAAUCCAAGCCCCAUCGCCAAGUGACCACGACUCCCCCAAGUCACCUGAUCUCUGUGUUUACAUCCUCAAAGUUAAGUAGUCAGGAAAGGGGGCUUGGGGCUUGCCACAUGGAUGGUUGCCACUCUCCUUUGAAAAGUGUAGUCCCCCAAAACAGGUGGAACAGGGAAGGGUCCAAUUAGAAGGCUGAUUACCAGCUGCCGUGUAUAUGCCAGAGCUGCUGGCUAGUGAUAAAUAACUGAAACCCAGGGGGACAGCAGAGCUAGGGUGACCAUACAUUCUAGGAAAGAAAAGAUGCCUGUUGUCCUGGCUUUUUAUCCAGCUUAGACAAAGAUGGGCAAAGAAAAUAAUUUAGAAAAUGGUAGAGAUGGGCACAGAGAAAGGGCACUGAGGGAGGCACAAACAGAAGGCCAAGUGAUGGUGGAGGCAGACAUUGGAGAAAUGCCUUUGCAAGCCAGGGAAUGCCAAGGAUGCUGGCGACCCUGGGAGCGGGAAGAACCUGGAACAUGCCCUCCCUCAGAGUCUCCAGAAGGAACUGGCCGUUCAUCACCUUUCGGACUUCUGGCCUCCGGAACUGCGCAAGAAAACGUUUCUGCUGUUGGAGGCCAUCCAGCUGGUGGUCAUUUGUUAUGGUUGCCACAGAAAAUGAAUAUAGAUUUAGACAUCUAAUUUGCAUAUAUAGAUGUGCAUGUGUAUUUGUUAAAUAAAAGAUAAAGCAUGAUAACUCGA